Long non-coding RNA from Neofelis nebulosa (Clouded leopard), 1967 nucleotides. RefSeq lists it as uncharacterized. The record is from RefSeq and is a predicted model, not a curated record. NCBI's taxonomy places the organism in Eukaryota, Metazoa, Chordata, Mammalia, Carnivora, Felidae. The transcript is spliced from 4 exons.
AGGGUGUAGAGGUUCCUCUGGACCCCGCUCCUCUUUUGUUUCUCUUCCUCUCUGAGGAGAAAAGCUCCUGGUCCCCCUCAUCCCUUGCCGGGCACUUUGAGGAGGAGCAGAACCAAGAAACAGGACUCGCAGAGGCCUCAGACCUCCCCUACUCAAAGUUCAGGGACUCGGAGCCUGGGAGGCUGGGGUGGGAGGGAGGAAGGAGGCGGCGCUGGCCGCUAAAUUUGUUCAUCCUGACUGUCAGUCCCUUAAUCUGAUCCCCGAGGAACAACGCAGAGGCUUCACUCUGGAUGACAAACGAGGAGGGGAGAGGCCUGCCCUGCCUGGACUCUGGGCCCCAGCCAGGACUGUGUAAGCGAGAGGAUUCCUGCACCCCCUUUAAUCCCUCGGAGGGGUGUCCCCAGUGGGGAGACCAGACCUGGGAAACAUGGCUCACCUUGGUAAGCCAUCAGCCUCUCCAUGCCUCAGUUUCUUCAUCUGCAAAAUGGGCAUACCUUUAGGCCUAGUGAGGCUAGUGCAUGUAAGCACUUAAAGCCUGCAGCGGUGGGGCUCAGAUGGCCCAGCCCUCUGCUCUGAGGACCUCCCUGACCUGGCAUGCACAUUUGCAUGGUCAUGUACACGUGCGUGCACACGAGCUGGGGAGCAGUGAAGACGCUCCCAGAGGAGAAGCUCAGAAACGAUGAUGAGGUCUUUUCUGAAUGGACCUGACCAUUUCGAAGAACAGAAUGGCAAUUUCACAUGGUGCAACCGGAGAGGUGAACCGCCCAGCCCAGAGCCGGCCUGCAGCGGCACUCACCCCAGCAGCUGUCGUAGCGGAGCGAGCCUGCGUCCUCUAUAAACCCAGGUGGACCUUCAGAAGCUCUAUGCCGAUGAGCUGGUGGGUGGAGGGCUCCCCUGGCCCUCAGUUCUCCACUGUUGGGUAGGGAGAGAGAGAAAGAGGAAUCUGCUCCCGAUGUUCCUGGGCCAGGGAGCCCCAGAGCCACGGCUCCUUUUCUGUGAACAGUACCAGGGGUCCAACUUGCUCACCAACGGAGUGUUCACUUGGGGCGCUCCCCGUGCCCAGCAAGGCCCCACACUUGGUUUAACAUGCUGCUGCCAUGUCUCGAAAUUCUCAACAAUUGUGGAGCAAGGGGCCCUGCAUUUGCAUUUUUCACCCAGACCGUUACAACGUACAUAGCCGGUCCUGCCUGCCAGACAUGCGUGUUACAGCUGCGUCCAGCUGGCCACAUCACUCCACACUGCGCUCCGCCCCCAACGCUACAACAGUCCCCAAAAGCCUGAAGCCGCAGACUCAUCCACUCUCCAGGCCGGCUCUCCGGGCUGUGGGCACAAGUGAGAUUGCCCUCUGUACGUUCUGAGGGACCAGGAACCUCAGGGUGUGGGUAUCAGCCUCUCCUCACUAGGCAGCCCCCAACCCACCAUCCUCAGGAGCCCCCCCGGGCCGGACGGCGGGUCCUCUGGCUAAGCUGAACUCCAAUGGGACACUGAAAUGCCAGCCUCUCCCUCCUGCCGGCUCCCUUGAUUCCUGAACAAGGGAUUCCUUCAUCCUUCCGGGGUCCCUGCCCUUCCUUCCAGCUCUGCUGCAGAUGUGAGGGAAGAUGCUCUCUCCCUCAAAUCUGUGCAGUCCCCAAGGGUCUCCCCCACUGGCCCCCACCUCUUCUGCUCUGCACGUGGGCGAGGGCCUUUGGGGAGGAUGUGGGUCUGACAGGGCCCGGCCGUGAGCCCUGCAGUGACAAGGAGGUCUGGGAGGGUCUGCCACUCGACUAGCCUGUGGGAGACCCAGCCCCUUGGGACAGGCAAGUCCCCACCAGACAGCCGGCAACAGAGCAGCAACUGCUCUGAAGAAGGUGCCAGAGGGGAUGUGGCAGAGAAGAGGACACGCUGUCGGGAUGGUGGCCAUUCCAGUGGAAGAGGCCAAGGACAACCAGGAGGACCAGUCACCAGUAAUAAAAAAAAGCUGCACGAAA